Molecule: ribosomal RNA, 305 nt
Filed under: uncultured bacterium
Lineage: Bacteria
Description: bacterial SSU rRNA
Rfam family: Bacterial small subunit ribosomal RNA
Source: RNAcentral
AAUGAACGCUGGCGGCGUGCUUAACACAUGCAAGUCGAACGAGGCGGAGGGGGGCGAACUCCUUCCAGUCGAGUGGCGGACGGGUGAGUAACACGUGGGUAACCGUGCCCGGAACGUGGGGAAGUAACCUCGGGGAAACGUACGAGCUAAUACCGCAUGACAUCUUCGGGACGAAAGUACCUGGUGAUCAAAGCGGGGUCGCAAGAUCUCGCGCUACCGGAUGGGCCCGGCGCCCGACUUAGCUAGUUGGUGAGGUAACGGGCUCACCAAGGCUUCGAUCGGUAACCGGCCUGAGAGGGCGGAUC